RNAcentral lists this transfer RNA (73 nucleotides) under Candidatus Acetothermia bacterium. Its description in RNAcentral is "tRNA-Ile". It matches the Rfam family "tRNA". From Rfam's summary of the family: Transfer RNA (tRNA) molecules are approximately 80 nucleotides in length. Their secondary structure includes four short double-helical elements and three loops (D, anti-codon, and T loops). Lineage: Bacteria; Candidatus Bipolaricaulota. The record is from RNAcentral.
GGGCCCAUAGCUCAGCGGUCAGAGCGACCGGCUCAUAACCGGUUGGUCGCAGGUUCGAACCCUGCUGGGCCCA